GGUGGCUCAGUGGUAGAGUGCUUGCCUUGCAUGCAUGAGGCCCUGGGUUCAAUUCUUGAGCACCA
Molecule: transfer RNA, 65 nt
Filed under: Dipodomys ordii (Ord's kangaroo rat)
Lineage: Eukaryota; Metazoa; Chordata; Mammalia; Rodentia; Heteromyidae
Rfam family: tRNA
About the family: Transfer RNA (tRNA) molecules are approximately 80 nucleotides in length. Their secondary structure includes four short double-helical elements and three loops (D, anti-codon, and T loops). Further hydrogen bonds mediate the characteristic L-shaped molecular structure. tRNAs have two regions of fundamental functional importance: the anti-codon, which is responsible for specific mRNA codon recognition, and the 3' end, to which the tRNAs corresponding amino acid is attached (by aminoacyl-tRNA synthetases). tRNAs cope with the degeneracy of the genetic code in two manners: having more than one tRNA (with a specific anti-codon) for a particular amino acid; and 'wobble' base-pairing, i.e. permitting non-standard base-pairing at the 3rd anti-codon position.
Source: Rfam by way of RNAcentral